Molecule: ribosomal RNA, 837 nt
Filed under: Triticum aestivum (bread wheat)
Lineage: Eukaryota; Viridiplantae; Streptophyta; Magnoliopsida; Poales; Poaceae
Description: partial small subunit ribosomal RNA
Source: RNAcentral
AUGCCGGUCUCAGUCUCAGUGCCGGUCUCAUUCUCAGCGCCGGUCUCGAUGUCGGUCUCAACCUCCAAUAGAGAGGAGUGGUGGGGGGAAGGGUGGGGGAUUACAGAGAGGGGAGAGACGGUGGCAGGGAGGUGCUCGGCGACGGAGGCAGGGGCGAGGAGGGCGGGCUCGGGCAUGGGCAGUGACGGUCCUGGGCGGGCUCAGGCGGUGAUCGGGAAGCCCCGGCCGCCCGCCUCUUCCCCUCCCUCACGACCACGGCAAGCCCCCUUCCCCCUCCCUCACACCAAAUCCAGGGCAUGGAGCCGUGGUGACAUAAAAUGUGAGAAUGUACUGGUUACCUCAUGGAACUGGCUAUACCUCACGGACUUUGCGUCUUUUAAACCAACUUACAUCCCGGAUGAUGAUCCAUCUGAUUUUUCGUUCCUCUUCGACACUGGAGGAAGGCGAAGAUGCUAUCUCGCACCUAAAAUGCUCUUCACUGAAAUGCUUGCUCUCACUGCAUCUUCAUCAUGCAAAAGAGGGUACAAUAGGAAAAGCCUGCAAUUAACAGAUGUUUUAGAUAAGAUCAUAAGAUUCCACAAACAUGGUGCUGAGUCCCAAGUUCCAUCAGAUGCACUUCUGAAACCAUCUAUGGACAUAUUCUCUCUCGGACAAUUUACCCACCCGCGGCGACUCUCCAUGCAUGUGGCUUGGGUUAUCUUUUUUCCAACGAAAUUUGUGGCUUGGGACAACGAGUUCAUCUGCGGCAGCUAUCGCUGUGAGCAGCCGUCCGCGACGCGCUCUGCAGCGUCUUCGCCGGGCACAACGAGAUCCUCAACGUCUGGAAGGAUAAAGUGA